GACGAACGCUGGCGGCGUGCAUAACACAUGCAAGUCGAACGGAAAGGCCCUGCUUUUGUGGGGUGCUCGAGUGGCGAACGGGUGAGUAACACGUGAGUAACCUGCCCUUGACUUUGGGAUAACUUCAGGAAACUGGGGCUAAUACCGGAUAGGAGCUCCUGCUGCAUGGUGGGGGUUGGAAAGUUUCGGCGGUUGGGGAUGGACUCGCGGCUUAUCAGCUUGUUGGUGGGGUAGUGGCUUACCAAGGCUUUGACGGGUAGCCGGCCUGAGAGGGUGACCGGCCACAUUGGGACUGAGAUACGGCCCAGACUCCUACGGGAGGCAGCAGUGGGGAAUAUUGCACAAUGGGCGGAAGCCUGAUGCAGCAACGCCGCGUGCGGGAUGACGGCCUUCGGGUUGUAAACCGCUUUCGCCUGUGACGAAGCGUGAGUGACGGUAAUGGGUAAAGAAGCACCGGCUAACUACGUG
This 468-nucleotide ribosomal RNA is filed under the name uncultured bacterium. Its description in RNAcentral is "partial 16S ribosomal RNA". It matches the Rfam family "Bacterial small subunit ribosomal RNA", at positions 28 to 507 of the family's 1533-position model. The record is from RNAcentral.